Molecule: ribosomal RNA, 93 nt
Filed under: uncultured bacterium
Lineage: Bacteria
Description: partial 16S ribosomal RNA
Source: RNAcentral
CCGCCCGUCACAUCGCGAAAGCCAUCUGUACUAGAAGCCGGCAAUUCAACCGCAAGGAGAUAGCCGUCCAAGGUAUGAAUGGUGAUUGGGGUG